GGCACACAUUCCCUAACUCGACUUGCUUUCAACCCUUGUGACCUCUGUCCCCUACUUCUUGCUACCUACAGUAGCUAUGCUGUGCAAGCGGAGAGGGACACAGCACGCUCUCUGUCCUCCUGUCAGUCAUUUGCAGGCGCCAUCUAUGAGCUCAGUGAUAACUACCCUCUAGCUUCAGUCAAAGUGCUGCUUUUGGUCUGAGGAGUGCUCCAGCUGGAGAAGAUGGCUCGGCCAUUAAGAGUGUGCACUGCCCUUGCAAGAAGGAGGACCUGAGUUCGGUUCCUAGCAGCCACAUCAGGCAGCUGGUGCCUGACUCCAGCUGCAGUGAAUAUGACACCUCUGGGCAACUGCACUCAUGUGCACAAACAGACACACAGACACACACAGUCAUAUUAAAAAUAAAUCUUAGAAAACAAGUA
Molecule: long non-coding RNA, 419 nt
Organism: Grammomys surdaster
Lineage: Eukaryota; Metazoa; Chordata; Mammalia; Rodentia; Muridae
Exons: 2
Source: RefSeq, a predicted model, not a curated record